GUCAGGUUUGCUAAAACAACGGCUCGACACUUAGGUCACCAGUCAUCGUCAGGCAAAUCCGAGCGGUGACUCCUGACAAAACUUUUCUCGAUAGUGAAGGUUGGGGGGUUACUAAAAUAUAUUGUCUCUAGGCGCGAUCGAUCUGGGGGCUUUUCAUCAUACUUUCCUUUUGCUUUGUUGUUGUUUCAGAUUGCAGAAUGGGGAGUAAUCUUAGUCUUGAUUCUUUUCAAGUAACUGCAUUAAUUGCUUCCAUUCUUGCCGUGAUUCCGCAGCUCCCUGCAGAUGCACAGGCUCUUAUUCCGGUCGCCGUAAUGGAAUUCGCUGUUUCAGUGAAUCCAAUCGCACGGCUAAUCUCAAUAGCUGAUUUAUUAUUAAGGUAUGUCCCCUGGAACACGCUAUGGGAAUACGUGCAAAACAUAUUUUCUCGGACCGAGGACCGCAUAUCAGCUUAUUCACAUCUACUCAGCAGGGCGGUCGAAGGACCCGGAGGCAACUCCCGAUGAUCGUUAGGAAGUUCCUUGACGUGACAUGCCCGCCAUGCAGGUGUUCUGUGAUCUGAACGAUAUUUAACUUUUCUACCCGAAUAUCAUCAUAGUUUUAGAUUUCUGUGCUUACUUUUACAAUUAUUUCGAUGUAUAAAAAUUAAAAAUAAAAUAAUGCGAUUUUGAUUUGAUUCAAUUUGUCUUGUGUUCAAAAGAUUGGCAUCGCUUCUUGGGUUACCGUUCACCUUUCUCCGACGAUAUCAAAAUUUAGACCGCGUUUAACAGAAAAGAACCGAGCCAUAUGAGUCAUUGCCAAAUUCAUUUGGACAAUUUAAUUUUUUACGGGAGAACAUUUGUGCGGAUUCCUUCGACAAUUUUUGAGGAAUUCGGAGAAAAUUCACUGAAAUUUGCACGAAAAUCCACACAACCGUUUUCAUGUAAAAAGUGAAAUUGGGCAAUUAAUGGCAAUAGCUGAUGUGGCAUGGUUCCUUUCUGUUCAACGCAGUCCAGUUUAAAUCAAUACUGACGAAAGGAAAGAGGUAGGAAAAAUUAUCUUGUACACCCAUUUCAGUUGGGCUUGUAUUUGGACCGCGUUAAGCAGAAAGAAACGGAGCCACGUUAGCUAUUGCCACAUUUAUUUGGGCAAUAUAAAAUUUUACAUGAAAACUUUUGUGCGGAUUUUUGCGCAAAUUUCAGUGAAUUUUUCGCAUAGGACGAGGCAAAUGCCAUACAAUUUCCAAAGAACCCGCACACACGCACCCUCGUAAAGAAUUACAUUGCCCAGUUGAAUUUGGCAAUAGCUGAUGUGACUUGGUUCCUUUUUGCUAUGAUCACAAACUCGCAAAAAUCUCUCCUGAAACAUCACCUGAGAAUUUCCGUCAUUUUGUUUUUUUCGCUUAUAGAAAUGUCAUGAAGUUACAAAUACUACUUGCGAACGACAAGACGAGAGAUUGUUGUCGUUUGCACGUAUUUGUAACUUUAUGGCAUUUCUAUGGUUAGUUUUUACAAUAAGGUUUCCAUGUGGUAUAAUAAUUUUAAACAUAAAUGACAUAUUUUGUAUUUAUUGAAUUAUUCGCUACUAUAAUUUUUGAAUACUCAAUUUAAUUUUAAGUAACGGCUCGACUCCGACGGAAAAAAUAAGAAUACAUUAAAGGAGGUGUUGCGAUUUGGGUCGAAAUCGGCCCCUCCACGGAAUUGAAUACUUUUUGGAUAUUUGGCAGUUGACGGUGCAUAUAUGAUGGAAAUAAUCGAGUUUUGCCGAUACCCACGUUUUUUGGCUGCGAAACAGGGGCCUAAACAUGUCUCCGUGGCCGAAAAUAGCUGAACAUCCAUGUUUUCCGCGGUUCUACCUCAAAUUUCGACCUGGGCCCAAAGGCGACGGGUGAUGAGCUUCGAAUGUGGUGUCUGGGACACCUAGACUCGUAACAUACUUGAAUAUGAUCAACCGUCGCCUUUGGGCCCAACUUCAAAAUCAAACUUUUCCGACUUUUUAGCCCGAAAUAGCUUGAUGAACUUGUAGCGUCUAUAGAGACAAUACAUAUUAGAGACUCCGCACUCCCGAACUGCGCGAUACAGUCAUUAGUGCGGCAUAAAAUAAAUUCGAUGAUCAACGCUAUUUUUUGCGUGAUGACAGUCGAUUGAACGUAUAAUUUUCCUAGUGAUGACUCACAAUUGGACGUAUUUAUGCUAAAAGGAACUAUAAGCAAGUGGAAAAACGGGGUGUGCUCGUGCAAGCUGGAUAAGAAACAAUGUAAAAGUAGAUAUAGUUCCUUUUGAGGCAAUAGAAAAGCGGGAUUUUCAAGUAAAUGAAAAGGAUUUGCGCGCCAACUCGUGAGCCGUGGACAUUUGAUAAGAGCAUUGUGGAUAGGGCUCAUGAGUUAAAGACCGCCUUUCCGAACGUCGUUUCUCUCGUCGUCUCAGGUGACGUCUCCGGCGCUCUAUAUUUCCCAUUCAUGCUUAUGGCCCUCAACUAACGAGCACACCCCAUCCGUCCACUUGCACAUAGUUCCAUUUGGCAUACUAUGUGCAAGUGAAAAGAUGGGGUGUGCUCGUUACUUGAGGGCCAUAAGGACGAAGGGGAAUUUUGAAGCGCCAGUGACGUCAGCGGCGACGACCGAACCCGACGACGACGACCUCGUCAUUGGGGCGCUUUAACUCAUGAGCCCUGUCCACAAAGCUCUUGUCACAUGUCCACGGCUCACGAGUUAGCACUCAGUUCCUUUUGAUUCAAUGUUAAAUCCCGCUUUUCCAUUUUCUCCAAAGAAACUAUAUCCACUUUUACAUUGUUUCUCAUCCAGCUCACCACGAGCAGACCCCAUCUUUUCAUUUGUAUAGUUCCUUUUAGCAUAAAUACGUCCAAUUGUCGAGGCUACUUUUUACAAAUUAUGUCAGGUUUGCUAAAACAACGGCUCGACACUUAGGUCACCAGUCAUCGUCAGGCAAAUCUGAGCGGUGACUCCUACCAAACUUUUCUCGAUAGUGAAGGUUGGGGGGUUACUAAAUAUAUAUUGUCUCUAGGCGCGAUCGAUCUGGGGCUUUUCAUCAUACUUUCCUUUUGCUUUG
RNAcentral lists this long non-coding RNA (3044 nucleotides) under Bemisia tabaci. RNAcentral describes it as "lncRNA ENSASIAIIG001292". The record is from RNAcentral. Lineage: Eukaryota; Metazoa; Arthropoda; Insecta; Hemiptera; Aleyrodidae.